Non-coding RNA from Phasianus colchicus (ring-necked pheasant), 2301 nucleotides. NCBI's taxonomy places the organism in Eukaryota, Metazoa, Chordata, Aves, Galliformes, Phasianidae. The record is from RefSeq and is a predicted model, not a curated record.
UCUUUCAGAAGCAGCAGUUAUAGUAGCAAUAAAAUUCGUUCAAGUGUUGUAAUGAAAUAAUGAGAAUUGGCAGCCCUACUUGCAGAGAAGGAUUCACAUAGUGUUUUUCUAAGUGAUUGCUGAAGAUCCACUUCCUUGUAGUUUUUCUUUGCUGUACUAUUAGAGCAAGACAGGAUUGCCCUCUUGUUCUAGAAAUAGUUCAUCUGAAUCAGGUGUUUGGCAGGAUGGUGAAAUAGCAGGUGGGAAGGGGUGGGAGGCCAACAGCUGGUAGAGACUGGGAAGGUGGAAAUAGUUUAGAAUGAUGCAGAAGGAGAAAGAUGAAGACUAAAAUUAACGGGACUCAUGGAGAAUAGUACGUACUGCAGGGAGAGACAACCUAAAGAGUAAAAGGAGAUAAGGAAUUUGGACAGAUGGAAGAAAGAAAUAAGAUCGACCACAAGGACCGAAUAAUGUUCCCAAAGAAAUGCAUUUGGAUGAAGAUGACUGAACAUGCAGAUCCAAAGGCCCUUUUAGGAUAUGGUGAACCUUUGGCCUUGGAUGAAGAGCGUUCUUGGAUGAAAGAACUCCAGCUGAAAGACAAAGUCUUUGCCUUUUCCCUUGAGACUUGCAGAGAUAUGAAAGAGAUAAAGGAAACAAAGAUUUGCAGCUGAAUUCUUGCAGGGUGCAGUUCUAGUGGCUGACAGGCACCCAGCCAGCCUGCCUCAUUACUGUGGAAUGUCACAUGCUUACACCCUUUACUGUUCUCCUGCAACUCCCUAAAACCCUCACGUGCAUUUUGGCUAUUUCUUUCUGCUAUUUGCAAAUUACAUUUAAUUGCGUAGUUUCUGUAUUAAAAUUGGUUCUCGGACUCAAGUAUAUCUCGUGUAGCUAAGAAAGUAAAUGCAGAAAAUACAUACUGUACUUGGUUCAUAAAAUUAUCAUAUUUGUACCAGGAACUGAGGAGGUAAUUAAGUAAUAAUCUUGUUUUUCUUUAAUGGCUUGCCUAAACUGAAAAUACCAAUAGUUCAUUGAGUCAAUGAACUGACAUUCACAAUGUGGUCAGCCAUAGCUACCUGGUCAUUUGAAUGGAUUUUCUACUCUAACAUAUUGAACUAUGUUAAAUUGAUAUGAAGAAAUCUAGGGACUUCAUAAAUUUCCUUACUAAAUGUUCAGUGUACUGAAACUUGGUUAUACUUUUGACUAUCUUUCUUUACAAAGUGUCCUUAUUUUCACUUUUUGUUAUAAAAAACAGCUCUUCUAGACAGUUUUUGUUUAAAUUCUUAGAGUAUAAUUUGAUUUCGUUAACAGUGUUUGUUGUUAGAGUUGAACUUCAAAGUACGUCUGAUACCUAACAUGUUACUACCUAAUGGAUUUUCUUAAUUGAGAACGUGUCUGAAAACAAAGGCUACACACAGAGAAAUGCUGUACCAAAAUUAAAGAGCUUUACUCUCCCUGCAUCAGUCCCCACAGAGGGAGACCUAAUUACUUUCACUGUUGUAGAAGUAUAAUUCCGCUUAUAUAUCAACUCACAUGCUAUAGUACCUUUCAUGCUAGAUAGGAAUGUGUAGUAAGUAUGUUGGAAUUCAGGCAUCUGUGGUAUCUCUGCUCUAAAGUGUAGCCACCAGACAGGCUUCUCAAGGGGCAGACCUGAACAGCGUAGCAACUGUUUUAACAAACCACCACAAUAAGAAGGCAUUUGCCUGCAGGGUAGCCUAGGUAAGCCCAGCAUUAUCUGAUAAGGAUGUAUUAGUCUACUUCUUUCAAAAGUCCUCUGGAACAUUUUGAAUAUUUUUCUUCAACAGCUAUGUCUUAUUGCCCAGCCAUCCUUGUUUAAAAGCAGUUCUAGAAGCUGUUUCCAGCUAAGCAAUAGACUUUUCUAAACAAUAGUGCAGAUGCUGUCUCUUAAAGGUUAGCUUUUGACUUGAAGACCUGGAGACAAUAACCAGUCUUUGAUCAGUGAUUUCACUUGCUUGUUUUCUCUGCUCACAUCUCUCUAUUUUGUCCCCUACCCCUCCUCUUUGGCCCUAACUGGUCAUAAAAAUUAUGCAUGACAAUUGGAAGUGUUGUUGGCUGCACGGUCUCUGUAUGGGCUGACUAAUAUAAAGUAAUUCAUAUUGAGAUGCAUAUGUAUGUUUGUAUGUGCAAGACAUUAACUUUACUUGCAUUGAGCCUGUUAGAAUAUGGAUGUACACAAAGAAAGCUAUGACUAAAAUUUCAGAUAUCUAGAUACUGAACAAUUAAAUUUUAUUGUUUACUCUUGAGCAUUGAUGUACUAAUGCUGUUUUGUUACUUCCCUAAUAAAAGAAACCUUUUUAAAUGCUU